This is a small nuclear RNA of Chionomys nivalis (European snow vole), 109 nucleotides long. The record is from RefSeq and is a predicted model, not a curated record. NCBI's taxonomy places the organism in Eukaryota, Metazoa, Chordata, Mammalia, Rodentia, Cricetidae.
GAUCUAUUCUGAUACUACUUCAUAUUCUAAAAUUGGAAUGAUACUGAGAAGAUUCACAUGGUCUCCGUGCAAGGAUGACACACAGAUUCAUGAGUGUUCCUUAUCAUUU